GCGGGCAGCUACACAUGCAAGUCGAACGGUAACUUUUGGUGCUUGCACCGAAAGACGAGUGGCGAACGGGUGCGUAACGCGUAUGCAAUCUGCCUUUUACUAGGGUAUAGCCCAGAGAAAUUUGGAUUAAUCCCCUAUAAUAUCAUUUAAUCGCAUGAUUUUAUGAUUAAAGCUUCGGCGGUAAAAGAUGAGCAUGCGUCCUAUUAGUUAGUAGGUGAGGUAACGGCUCACCUAAGCUCCGAUAGGUAGGGGUCCUGAGAGGGAGAUCCCCCACACUGGUACUGAGACACGGACCAGACUUCUACGGAAGGCAGCAGUAAGGAAUAUUGGACAAUGGAGGAAACUCUGAUCCAGCGAUGCCGCGUGAAGGAAGACGGCCCUAUGGGUUGUAAACUUCUUUUAUACAGGAAGAAACCUUUCCACGUGUGGAAAGCUGACGGUACUGUAAGAAUAAGGAUCGGCUAACUCCGUGCCAGCAGCCGCGGUAAUACGGAGGAUCCAAGCGUUAUCCGGAAUUAUUGGGUUUAAAGGGUCCGCAGGCUGUUUGUUAAGUCAGGGGUGAAAUCCUACCGCUCAACGGUAGAACUGCCUUUGAUACUGGCAAACUUGAGUUAUUGUGAAGUAGUUAGAAUGUGUAGUGUAGCGGUGAAAUGCAUAGAUAUUACACAGAAUACCAAUUGCGAAGGCAGAUUACUAACAAUUAACUGACGCUGAGGGACGAAAGCGUGGGUAGCGAACAGGAUUAGAUACCCUGGUAGUCCACGCCGUAAACGAUGGUCACUAGCUGUUCGAUGUACAUUG
This 801-nucleotide ribosomal RNA is filed under the name uncultured bacterium. Its description in RNAcentral is "bacterial SSU rRNA". It matches the Rfam family "Bacterial small subunit ribosomal RNA", at positions 42 to 841 of the family's 1533-position model. The record is from RNAcentral.